GCCACCUUAGCUCAAUCGGUAGAGCACGAGAUUUGUAAUCUCGAGGUCGUCGGUUCGAUCCCGACAGGUGGCU
RNAcentral lists this transfer RNA (73 nucleotides) under Spirochaetaceae bacterium. RNAcentral describes it as "tRNA-Thr". It matches the Rfam family "tRNA". From Rfam's summary of the family: Transfer RNA (tRNA) molecules are approximately 80 nucleotides in length. Their secondary structure includes four short double-helical elements and three loops (D, anti-codon, and T loops). The record is from RNAcentral. Lineage: Bacteria; Pseudomonadati; Spirochaetota; Spirochaetia; Spirochaetales; Spirochaetaceae.